GUAGGUGGCAAGCGUUGUCCGGAAUUAUGGGCGUAAAGCGCGCGCAGGCGGGCCUUUAAGUCUGAUGUGAAAGCCCACGGGCUCAACCGUGAGGGUCAUUGGAAACUGGGGGACUUGAGUACAGAAGAGGAAAGCGGAAUUCCAAGUGUAGCGGUGAAAUGCGUAGAGAUUUGGAGGAACACCAGUGGCGAAGGCGGCUUUCUGGUCUGUAACUGACGCUGAGGCGCGAAAGCGUGGGGAGCAAACAGGAUUAGAUACCCUGGUAGUCCACGCCGUAAACGAUGAGUGCUAAGUGUUAGGGGGUUUCCGCCCCUUAGUGCUGCAGCUAACGCAUUAAGCACUCCGCCUGGGGAGUACGGCCGCAAAGGCUG
This 371-nucleotide ribosomal RNA is filed under the name uncultured organism. Its description in RNAcentral is "partial 16S ribosomal RNA". It matches the Rfam family "Bacterial small subunit ribosomal RNA", at positions 527 to 896 of the family's 1533-position model. The record is from RNAcentral.